CCAGACUCCUACGGGAGGCAGCAGUGGGGGAUAUUGCACAAUGGGGGAAACCCUGAUGCAGCGAUGCCGCGUGAGUGAAGACGGCCUUCGGGUUGUAAAGCUCUGUCGCAGAGGACGAAAAUGACGGUACUCUGUAAGAAAGCUCCGGCUAACUACGUGCCAGCAGCCGCGGUAAUACGUAGGGAGCAAGCGUUGUCCGGAAUUACUGGGUGUAAAGGGAGCGUAGGCGGGAGGAUAAGUUGAAUGUGAAAUCUAUGGGCUAACCCUAGAGCUGCUUUCAAAACUGUUCUUCUUGAGUGAAGUAGAGGCAGGCGGAAUUCCUAGUGUAGCGGUGAAAUGCGUAGAUAUUAGGAGGAACACCAGUGGCGAAGGCGGCCUGCUGGGCUUUUACUGGCGCUGAGGCCCGAAAGCGUGGGUAGCAAACAGGAUAGAUACCCCCAUAG
Molecule: ribosomal RNA, 443 nt
Filed under: uncultured bacterium
Lineage: Bacteria
Description: bacterial SSU rRNA
Rfam family: Bacterial small subunit ribosomal RNA
Source: RNAcentral